CAGGUGAAGCUGAGCACGUCUAGACGAACUGCCGUUGACAAACGGAGGAAGGUGGGGAUGACGUCAAAUCAUCAUGCCCCUUAUGUUCUGGGCUACACACGUGCUACAAUGGCCGGUACAGACGGACGCAAAGCCGCGAGGUGGAGCAAAUCCUAAAAAGCCGGUCUCAGUUCGGAUUGCAGGCUGCAAUUCGCCUGCAUGAAGUCGGAAUCGCUAGUAAUCGCAGGUCAGCAUACUGCGGUGAAUGCGUUCCCGGGCCUU
This 261-nucleotide ribosomal RNA is filed under the name uncultured Bacillus sp. RNAcentral describes it as "partial 16S ribosomal RNA". It matches the Rfam family "Bacterial small subunit ribosomal RNA", at positions 1122 to 1382 of the family's 1533-position model. The record is from RNAcentral. Lineage: Bacteria; Bacillati; Bacillota; Bacilli; Caryophanales; Bacillaceae.